Etheostoma cragini (Arkansas darter) is the source of this 139-nucleotide long non-coding RNA. RefSeq lists it as uncharacterized. NCBI's taxonomy places the organism in Eukaryota, Metazoa, Chordata, Actinopteri, Perciformes, Percidae. The record is from RefSeq and is a predicted model, not a curated record. The transcript is spliced from 3 exons.
CACCUCAGCCUGCUGUGUAGUUUAUUGCUUUUAUGUCAUGUGAUAAGUCAAAUAUCUUUGACUGUAUUAUUGCAUGUCUCAUAUAGUAUUCUCACGUACAGUUUGACAGAAAUUUUUUGGGAGAAAAUGCCAAAAAAGU